This 440-nucleotide ribosomal RNA is filed under the name uncultured bacterium. RNAcentral's name for it is "partial 16S ribosomal RNA". It matches the Rfam family "Bacterial small subunit ribosomal RNA", at positions 338 to 795 of the family's 1533-position model. The record is from RNAcentral.
CCUACGGGUGGCAGCAGUGGGGGAUAUUGCACAAUGGGGGAAACCCUGAUGCAGCGACGCCGCGUGUGGGAAGACGGUCCUCUGGAUUGUAAACCACUGUCCCCAGGGACGAAGAUGACGGUACCUGGGGAGGAAGCUCCGGCUCACUACGUGCCAGCAGCCGCGGUACUACGUAGGGAGCGAGCGUUGUCCGGAAUUACUGGGUGUAAAGGGAGCGUAGGCGGGACUGCAAGUUGGGUGUCAAAUCUACCGGCUCAACCGGUAGCCGCACUCAAAACUGCAGUUCUUGAGGGAAGUAGAGGCAGGCGGAAUUCCUAGUGGAGCGGUGAAAUGCGGAGAUAUUAGGAGGAACACCAGUGGCGAAGGCGGCCUGCUGGGCUUUUACUGACGCUGAGGCUCGAAAGUGUGGGGAGCAAACAGGAUUAGAUACCCCGGUAGUC